AGCUUGCUCUUUUCAGAAUUGAGUGGCAAACGGGUGAGUAACACGUAAACAACCUGCCUUCAGGAUGGGGACACAAAAAGCGGAAACGACUGCUAAUACCGAAUAAGUUCCAAGAGCCGCAUGGCCCAUGGAAGAAAAGGUGGCCUCUACCUGUAAGCUAUCGCCUGAAGAGGGGUUUGCGUCUGAUUAGCUGGUUGGAGGGGUAACGGCCCACCAAGGCGACGAUCAGUAGCCGGUCUGAGAGGAAGGUCCCCACAUUGGAACUGAGACACGGUCCAAACUCC
RNAcentral lists this ribosomal RNA (284 nucleotides) under uncultured Dialister sp. RNAcentral's name for it is "partial 16S ribosomal RNA". It matches the Rfam family "Bacterial small subunit ribosomal RNA", at positions 77 to 339 of the family's 1533-position model. The record is from RNAcentral. Lineage: Bacteria; Bacillati; Bacillota; Negativicutes; Veillonellales; Veillonellaceae.